Molecule: ribosomal RNA, 112 nt
Filed under: Octodon degus (degu)
Lineage: Eukaryota; Metazoa; Chordata; Mammalia; Rodentia; Octodontidae
Source: RNAcentral
UGUCUACGGCCAUACCACCCUGAACAUGCCCAUCUCAUCUGAUCUCGGAUGCUAAGGAAGGUCGGGCCUGGUUAGUACGUGGAUGGGAGAUUUUCCUCAGUCCCUGUAACAA